CAUUUUGGUCCUUGACGCGCUAUUGUUUAUAAUCUAAUUACACAUGCAAGCCUCCGCACGCCAGUGAGAAGCCCAAUAGACUCUUCAUGAGCCAAGGAGACGGCAUCAGGCACACCACGUACAGCCAAUCACGCCACGCAAAUUGCCACACCCACAAGGGCCCCAGCAGUGAACAAUAUUAAGAUAUAAGUGAAAACUUGACUUAGUUAAGAUUAAUGACGGCCGGUAAAUCUCGUGCCAGCCACCGCGGUUAUACGAGAGGCCAAAAACAACAGCUACUGGCGUAAAGAGUGAUCAGAGUAAAACCAACACAUUAAGGGGGCACCAAUCCUAAGCCGUGAAACCCAUAAGAAAUAAGAACUUCAACAACCCUUAAUAAAAAGAUAACUUUAACCCACGAAAGUUGGGACACAAACUGGGAUUAGAUACCCCACUAUGCCCAACCCUGAACUUAGACAGCCAAAAAUCUUAAGCUGUUCGCCCGGGAAUUACAAGCAAAAGCUAGAAACCCAAAGGACUUGGCGGUGCCCAAUAUCAAACUAGAGGAGCCUGUCCCAUAACCGAUAAUCCACGAUAAACCUUACCACCCUUUGAAAAUUCAGCCUAUAUACCGCCGUCGCCAGCCCACCUUAUGAAAGCACAGCAGUGGGCACAACAGCACACGCGAGAACGCCAGGUCAAGGUGUAGCUAAUAGGGUGGAGGUGAUGGGCUACAUUUCCUAAUGCCGAUAAUAUACGAAAGGCCCUAUGAAAACCGAGCCAGAAGGUGGAUUUAGCAGUAAAACAGAUAAGACUGUCUGCUUGAAGCAAGCCCUGGGGCACGCACACACCGCCCGUCACCCUCCUCAAGCUUCUUUUAACCAUAACAUAUACAACCAGCGCAAACACAGAUGAGGUA
Molecule: non-coding RNA, 898 nt
Filed under: Lepidophyma smithii (Smith's tropical night lizard)
Lineage: Eukaryota; Metazoa; Chordata; Lepidosauria; Squamata; Xantusiidae
Description: partial 12S ribosomal RNA
Rfam family: Bacterial small subunit ribosomal RNA
Source: RNAcentral